Molecule: ribosomal RNA, 253 nt
Filed under: uncultured bacterium
Lineage: Bacteria
Description: partial 16S ribosomal RNA
Rfam family: Bacterial small subunit ribosomal RNA
Source: RNAcentral
UACAGAGGUGGCAAGCGUUGUUCGGAAUUACUGGGCGUAAAGGGCGCGUAGGCGGCCUACUAAGUCAGACGUGAAAUCCCCCGGCUUAACCUGGGAACUGCGUCUGGUACUGGAAGGCUCGAGUAUGGGAGAGGGAUGUAGAAUUCCAGGCGUAGCGGUGAAAUGCGUAGAUAUCUGGAGGAAUACCGGUGGCGAAGGCGGCAUCCUGGACCAUUACUGACGCUGAGGCGCGAAAGCUAGGGGAGCAAACGGG